This 460-nucleotide ribosomal RNA is filed under the name uncultured bacterium. Its description in RNAcentral is "partial 16S ribosomal RNA". It matches the Rfam family "Bacterial small subunit ribosomal RNA", at positions 338 to 795 of the family's 1533-position model. The record is from RNAcentral.
CCUACGGGAGGCAGCAGUGAGGAAUAUUGGUCAAUGGCCGGAAGGCUGAACCAGCCAUGCCGCGUGAAGGUCAGUGCCCUAUGGGCGUUAAACUUCUUUUGUGCGGGAGCAAUAAUGGACACGUGUGGCCAGACGAGAGUACCGUACGAAUAAGCAUCGGCUAACUCCGUGCCAGCAGCCGCGGUAAUACGGGGGAUGCAAGCGUUAUCCGGAUUUAUUGGGUUUAAAGGGUGCGUAGGCGGUGAGGUAAGUCAGCGGGGAAAUGCCCCCGCUCAACGGGGUGAAGUGCCAUUGAUACUGCCUUGCUGGAAUGCGGAUGCCGUGGGAGGAAUGUGUGGUGUAGCGGUGAAAUGCAUAGAUAUCACACAGAACACCGAUUGCGAAGGCAUCUCACGAAUCCGCGAUUGACGCUGAUGCACGAAAGCGUGGGUAUCAAACAGGAUUAGAUACCCCUGUAGUC